UGUCUCCUAAUCUGCAGUUCCAAGUAAGUGCUUUAUCUUCACCUCCAAGAAAUAAUGUCAAUUAUGGAUUUUGAGUUGCUAUUCCAAGAAAUUGCAAAUGGAUUUGCAGUCGUGAAGAAACAGGGAAAGUAGAGCACUAUAGAACUCUAAAAGACCCGAGAUAGAGAAGACGAGGAAACUAUUGGAACAAAACGUAAAAUGAAACAUCCUUUCAAGAGAACAGAAUUAUAUUUGCGAGUGGAAGAGAGAUGAUUUCUGAUGCUGGAGUAGAAGUGGAGGUGGAUAUUUAUAAGCAGAGAGUUGUCAGAUCUCAACUGUAGCUCAUUUUCAUAUUCCCACUAUAUCCCAAAUCCUAUGAUCUCUGUAUUAUCACACAAAAGAAAUCAAGGAGAUUUUGGGCACAGAGGAUCUCCCGAAGGAAGAGUGUGGCAUAAUGUUGGGGAUGAGGGGCUCACCUUGUCCAAUGGUGGAACAGGGCUUCUGCUUUUGUUCGUUCCGGCAAUUGAAGUUCAAAAGCUAGUUUUUGGGCAUUUAUUAGGUCCAGCUGUGCUUGAUUUCAUCAACCUCUGACUUUGGAUUCUGUAGCUUUAAUUAGCUUGAUUCAGUUGAGCUUACUUUAGCUGAACUUGGUCUCUAUAGGAUUGUGCUAGCUUGAUUCGGUUGAGCUUACUUUAGCUGAACUUGGUCUCUAUAGGAUGAUGCUACCUAGGUACAAAUUUUGCUUUCUUUAAUGCAUGAAGCUACUGUCAGCUUAGUUUAGCUCAGCUUGGAAUCCUAUCAAAAUGCUACUUUUGCUUCUUCUAGAGCAUCAAACUACUGUAAGCUUUGUUUAGCUCAACUUAGUUUCCAUAUGAUCGUAAUGAAGAAGCUAUCUACUAUAAGCUUAGUUUUUUUCAUCUUAGAUUUUAUAGGAUCAUAUGUGAUGUUCCCUCUAGUGGAGGAGGGUCCAUAUGUGAAUUUCCUGAAUUUAUACCUUCACAUGACUUGAUUGCCCUAAGGAUAAUGCAGUCAUAAUUACUAAUUCAGUUUGACAUCUGUAUUUAAAAGGAAUCUAAAUCAAAUGGUAAGAAAAUUUCCCCUCAAAAAAAAAAAAACAAACUUCAAGAAUUUUGUGAAUAAAACAUGUUGGUCGAACUUCUCCUCUUUGUUUGAAUCAUCGAAACCCAAACCAUGCAACAUAAGCUCACAGAGCUUCUUACAUUAAUAAAGAGUUGCAUAUGUGGUUAUUUCUGCACCUAAUCCAGUUAUCAUAUUGCCCAGCUUUCCAAAAACACAAAACAAACCAAGCCAAUAGUACUGCCCAAAAGAUUUUUCCUCCCUUAUCUCUCAAAAGAUGUUUUCUCUCUUUUCUCCCAUCUCAAUCAGGAUGAAUUAAAAUUCAUAGAAAGUUAGAAAAAGGUACUUCUUUUAGAAUUGGCUGGUUAAACCAUUCAAGCUGAUAAUAGUUGAUGCAACUCGAUAAUUGUGAGAACAAUUUUAUUUUUAUAAAUUACAUUUUGAUAAAAAGGCAAGUUGUAUUUUAAUAAGUCUUAUCUUUUAGGUGUUGUGGUCUAUUAUAACCUUGGUGUAGUGGGAAUCACACACAUAAGCCACAUAUCCGGCUAGACCACAUCACCCAGUAAGAUUUCUAUAUUGAUUCAGUUAACUUAAAUAAUGUGCUCUAUUUCCUUUGCAUAUCUGGCUCAAUAUUCUCUGACUGAACAUGAUUUAAUGUUGGAAUUCUCAUAAUCUCCAAUCGAUUAGUUAAGGAAUACUAGCUUUCUUCAAAGAAUCCAACACCAGUUGGAUCGGUACAUAUCGAUCAAUUUUAUUAUGACCAAGAACCAAUAUAGACAAUAUACGCUAGUAUCGAUCGGUAUCUGAUUUUCUUAUUAUCUUUUGGUGAUACAUAACAAUACAGAUCAGUAUAUUGUCAGAUAUACCCAUACCGUAGGAGUUUAACCUGUUGCUAAGACUGAUAUCAAGCAGGAUUUAAAUCUUUUCUUUCUACCUAUUGAAAGUAUACAUGACCUUAUCAUAUUGGAUGUGGUGUUGCCUCUACUAAGUUUACCAUCUGUUACAGUAUGAGAAAAAAACUUAUACUGAGCUUAAAAGUAAAUGUUAACCUUUGAGAAAAAGGUUGAAUCAUCGAUUUGUUUGAAUGAAUCUCACCUUCCCCUGUUUGAGUGGAUGAAGUUAGGGAUUCACCUCCGAAUGGAAUGAAUGAUUCAAGUUGCUUUCCUCCUUUCAACUGUGGGUGAGAAUUAUUUUCGUUUCUCAUGUCGAAAUAUUUUGGAUGGAAAAAAAAAUUCAUGAUUUGAUACUACAAGACUCAACCACCUGUUGUUCAUUGGUUUAGUGGUCCAUGGAUGUACUUGUAAACAUGUGGUCCAACCGUUUAUCACCUCAUAAUUAGUGGGUGAUUGAGAUGUGAGGAUUACAUGAAUAAGCUGUUACCGUAAAUCUCUGUGCAAGGAUAUUAAUUCUCCUAAUUGGAGACAAUCUGAACUCGGAACCAAUUUGAAAAAAAAAAUAAUAUGAGGUUGCAUGUCCUUGUCAGAGUGUUGUUUGUCUCUUUUUUAGGGAAAACAAAGGAAAGGCAUAGUCUCCUUUAUGCAAGCCAAGAUUGAGCUUCCAAGUAGUUGUCUAUGUGAAGGAACCUUUUCUGGGCUGUGGCUUGUCACUUCAGUACACUUAUCUUUAGACCCUUCAACUCUCACCAUUCAUCAGAAGCAAUUACUACUUUGUAUUUGGGGUCUGAGAUGAUGCAGUUAAUCACCAAGUAGAUUAAGUGGUUUUAUCUUUUCUUAAACAAAGCAUUAAAGUUUAAGUAUCUUUUCUUAUGUUGGUACAGUUUCACAGCUGCAUCUGAAAUGUCCGUCUACCAUCGCCUCUUAUCAUGAUCAGUGGUCCAUCAUCAUCUCAUGUCAGUCCCAUAUGACACCUCUUACAUCUCCACAUGUGAGGUUCAUAUGAGUGGAGAAUUGCGACCACAGAUGAGGUUGAUGUAAUGGUUGAUAUCGAGAAGUUGGAGGGACAGUUGGAUCUGCAGAAAUUGUGAAGGACUUUAAAUUGCACGAAGUCAUUAGGUCAAGGCAUGAGGGAUGCAUGAAACCGCAAAAGCAGCUUUAUAUAGGUGACAAAUGGUGGCAACAGUAUGUAGAUGAUGGAGACAAUAACUAUUGAUUCUAGUUCAUGAACAUAAAUUUAACGGAAGCACAAAUUCAUGCAUACACACGACAAAAAAUUCAGUUUGUAAGUACUGGACCUUCAGGUUUGGUUUGGAUUAUGCUUUAUGCUGUGAAUAUUAUCUCUUCUGUCAUAUUUAUUCUAUGACUAGUUUCUAUUUUGCUAUUUCAUUUCACUUCUUACGAAAUGACAAUAUUAUUUUUUUCAUUUUUCUCAAGAAAAUGGAUCGGUCAUGGUUACCAGGAGAAAAAUGCAGAUUCCCAUAGCAGACUUGACUGAAUUCUUCAUGCUGCUACUGCCUUUUGAUCACUGUUUAGAGGUCCGUCCUUUGGUAGGAUUACUGAGCAAAAUAUCACUCUCUCUCUCUCUCUCUCUCUCAAAAUUUUUCCUGUUAUGCAUGAAGUAACAUGCCUAGAACAUCAGGACCAAUUUUUUACCUUCUCAUCUUAGGAUAGCGUAUGACUUGUACGAUCAAACUACCAAGUCUAGAAUCAACAAACCACAAGUCUAGGUAGUUUAAAUCAUGUCAAGUUAGUUCAUUUGAAGGAAUUUAAUGAGAUGGGAAUGAAUUUUUGUUGUGGGAACAUGAUUGGUUCAUGAACUUCCCAUAUGUAACAGUGUCAAAUCGCUCAUUUAGUGUUCCAUGCACAAGCCAUUGCACUUUGGCCUAUAAAUUUCACUGUGAAAACAGGCAUGUAAAAGGCCAAACAACUGAAACCUAAAAAGUAAGGAGUUCGAAAAAAUUGAAAGAUGAGAAGCUAAUUGGCAUCUUUGUUGACACGAGGAAUCAAUUCUUGUGAUGUGCUUUCUUAUGAUGAAACAGGCAAAGUGCUAUGGACGCAGAGGAUCAUAACAUGGCAUGGAUCCAUCAUGCACGCUGCUUUCAUCAUGUUGAGCUUCAGCAAUUAAGAUGAGAAUGGGCAACAUAGAGCACAUCCACUUGCGUGAUGAUUGUGCUCUUGAUGCAACUAGAUUGAGGAUGAUGCUACAAAGAUGCGCUGGUGCACCUAUAUGAUGUUAAUAUAACACUGCACCAAUAUGAUCAUGGAUGAGCAUCCACCACGUUGAUACAUCAGCACCAAAAGACCAGUAAUGCAAUUUCGACAUCUUAUGAUUUGUAUGCACGACAAGCACUUUUCGAUAUAAAGACAUACUUGAUUUUUUUGCAGAAUUCAUCUCGCUGAUCUUGAUGUGAUUUUGGUAGUAGUCUUGCAGAACAUCCUCUUCUUUCUUAAUAGACCUCUAGAUCAACGGUCAAGGACAUUGUUUCAACAUAUGACCAAAACAGGUUUUACGUUGAUCCCUCCUUCCAUCCUCCUCCCUCAUUUGUUUUGUAAGCCUAAUCUAGUUUGAACCUUGAUGGCCAUGGUUGUCUUGGUGACAUUGAUGGGCAGCUCAUCUUGAAAAGAUUCUAGGUAUGAAUCCUUGUGCAAGUGGUGUUGGAGUACUCUAGUUGAAUAAUUAUUCAGGUAAAAGAUCAUCCACUAGAUCUGUCUUUUAUUUCUUUAAGGUAUCUUUCUUUGUCUUCCUGCUUUUUGACUGAGUUUUUAUGUGAUUGAUGACUAUUCCUCACCUAUAUUGAGCUUUCCAGGUUGACUGCAAGGUCCUGUAGAAAAAGAAAGGAUUCUUUUUUUCUUUCAUUAUGACAUAUGUCAAAAUAAUUGGAUGGGAGAUGACAAAAAGGUAUUUGUUCAUUGUGAUUGAACUUGUAGGUGGAUUGUCCUUUCAGAACCUUUCAGUCUUACAUUCUCCUACCCUCCAAGCUGUACAGCUAGUUGAAUGAAAGAUUGAUACUGAAAGAUUGAUUUGGCCUAAUUGAAUUCAGUAAGUUGGAGGAGCAGGAUUAAGGUGGUUUGUCAAGCAAGGAUGCAGGCUCAUCGCGUAUGGUAGGUUCGGGGUCAAUGCAUGCUCGUUUGCCAUUAUAUUUUUUGACCAAUUUAGAGCUACUCAAUCUGUGCAUUUCUGUUUGUCUUGUAAUGAAACAGGCGGAGUGACAUGAAUACAGAGACUCAUGACAUGGCAUCGGAUCCACCAUCAACUCUGUUUUCAUAGUCUUGUGUCCUUGCUGAAUCUAUAUCAAGAAUGCUGCUACAAUUUUGUCCUGGUGCACGUAUUUGAUCAUAAUGUAGCACUGCACCAAUCUGAUUAUGGACGAGCACCGACACUAUCCAUCAGCACCGAUGGACCG
This 5356-nucleotide long non-coding RNA is filed under the name Musa acuminata (dwarf banana). RNAcentral's name for it is "long non-coding RNA (MACU_LNC000537)". The record is from RNAcentral. Lineage: Eukaryota; Viridiplantae; Streptophyta; Magnoliopsida; Zingiberales; Musaceae.